GUUCUUCUUUAAUUAUGGCAUAGGCAGUAUCUCUUAAAGCACAGGCUCUAUGCCUAAUAAGACGAUCUAUGAAUCGUUUCACUUCUUCUGCUGUCAGUGAUCUUGGCUCAGGUGGUGGUGCUACUGGGAGUACCUCCAAAGCCUGCAAAACUUCACAUGAAUGGAAGAGUAGAGAUGAGAUUUCACUGUGUUAGCCAGGAUGGUCUC
Molecule: long non-coding RNA, 207 nt
Organism: Nomascus leucogenys (northern white-cheeked gibbon)
Lineage: Eukaryota; Metazoa; Chordata; Mammalia; Primates; Hylobatidae
Exons: 3
Source: RefSeq, a predicted model, not a curated record